CCAAUCUUUGCUACACUCAGAAUCUAAAAUUUAAAUUAAAUUAAUCAUUUCCAAUUUUAAUUCUAAAACUAUAUUGUUUUAUUAUAUCUUUCCAAAUUGAUUGUUUCCACUUAGUUUUCCAUAAUUUAAUCUCACCCUUCAGAAAAUAUUUAUUGAAAUUUAUAAAUGAGAAGUGUUUCAUUCUUGUUUUAACCAAAGUAUUUCCAAGAUCCGGAAUCAUCUUUCUGGGAUUUGAAACCUGUUUCAUUUGUACUUAUUUGUAUUUAAGAAUUAUGGAUAGUUUGUAUAACAAAAAAGAACAUCACACGGUUUUUGGGAGAGAGGGCGGUCAUCUCCCUCGCCCCCCUCAGAGACGAGCAAAGCGUCCGAAAAAAUUAUUGAUAUUUACCGAUGGUUUGACUUUCCUCUGGUCCUUCCGGGUGUUCUUUGUUCUUCAUUACCCCAUUCUAUUCUAACUUUCCUUGUUUCUUCUAUUUCCAUGGUGUGUAUUAACUUUUAAACUGUUAAUCUUCUACAUAAAUUAUUAUAAGGGGCACCCCGUGGCGUAGUCGGAGCUAAAUCAAAAAAGGGGUGGUUUAAAAAUAAUAGUACAUCACGGGUAUAAAUACUGUUGUAUAUUAUUACCUACAUGCUAUAGCCGUGAUUAAAACAUAACCGCUUAAAAAUUCCAAAGGAGGAAAUUCCAUGGCUAAAUGAUCCUCCCCACAGCAACGCAAUUGGGAACACCUUCAUCAUUUAUCGUACGUCUACAUUUCUAAAAAGUCUCCGAACACUAUCAAUUUUUCGCAUUUCCAAAAAAUAGUCUAUAUAAUAUUUUUAAAGCUC
Molecule: non-coding RNA, 825 nt
Organism: Cinara cedri
Lineage: Eukaryota; Metazoa; Arthropoda; Insecta; Hemiptera; Aphididae
Source: the annotation of a GenBank genome assembly